CAGCCGCCGCGGUAAAACCAGCACCUCAAGUGGUCGGGAUGAUUAUUGGGCCUAAAGCAUCCGUAGCCGGCUCUGUAAGUUUUCGGUUAAAUCUGUACGCUCAACGUACAGGCUGCCGGGAAUACUGCAAAGCUAGGGAGUGGGAGAAGUAGACGGUACUCGGUAGGAAGUGGUAAAAUGCUUUGAUCUAUCGAUGACCACCUGUGGCGAAGGCGGUCUACUAGAACACGUCCGACGGUGAGGGAUGAAAGCUGGGGGAGCAAACCGGAUUAGAUACCCGGGUAGUCCCAGCUGUAAACUAUGCAAACUCAGUGAUGCAUUGGCUUGUGGCCAAUGCAGUGCUGCAGGGAAGCCGUUAAGUUUGCCGCCUGGGAAGUACGUACGCAAGUAUGAAACUUAAAGGAAUUGGCGGGGGAGCAC
RNAcentral lists this ribosomal RNA (420 nucleotides) under uncultured Nitrososphaerota archaeon. RNAcentral describes it as "bacterial SSU rRNA". It matches the Rfam family "Archaeal small subunit ribosomal RNA", at positions 459 to 879 of the family's 1478-position model. The record is from RNAcentral. Lineage: Archaea; Thermoproteati; Nitrososphaerota.